GACGAACGCUUGCGGCGUGCCUAAGAAAUGCAAGUCGAGCGGAGGAGCAAUCCUCAGCGGCGAACGGUCGCGUAACACGUAAGCAACCUGCCCGAAAGACCGGGACAACAGUGAGAAAUCGCUGCUAAUACCGGAUGUGGCCUGCCUUUCACCUGUGAGGCAGAUUAAAUCCCUUGUGGGCUUUCGGAGGGGCUUGCGGCCUAUCAGCUUGUUGGCGGGGUAACGGCCCACCAAGGCGACGACGGGUAGCUGGUCUGAGAGGAUGGUCAGCCGGACUGGGACUGAGAUACGGCCCAGACUCC
Molecule: ribosomal RNA, 302 nt
Filed under: uncultured bacterium
Lineage: Bacteria
Description: bacterial SSU rRNA
Rfam family: Bacterial small subunit ribosomal RNA
Source: RNAcentral